Molecule: ribosomal RNA, 381 nt
Filed under: uncultured bacterium
Lineage: Bacteria
Description: bacterial SSU rRNA
Rfam family: Bacterial small subunit ribosomal RNA
Source: RNAcentral
AUUGAACGCUGGCGGCAUGCCUUACACAUGCAAGUCGAACGGCAGCGCGGGCUUCGGCCUGGCGGCGAGUGGCGAACGGGUGAGUAACAUAUCGGAACGUGCCCUGGAGUGGGGGAUAACUAGUCGAAAGAUUAGCUAAUACCGCAUACGAUCUACGGAGGAAAGUGGGGGACCGCAAGGCCUCACGCUCGUGGAGCGGCCGAUAUCUGAUUAGCUAGUUGGGGGGUAAAAGCCUACCAAGGCCACGAUCAGUAGCUGGUCUGAGAGGACGACCAGCCACACUGGGACUGAGACACGGCCCAGACUCCUACGGGAGGCAGCAGUGGGGAAUUUUGGACAAUGGGCGCAAGCCUGAUCCAGCAAUGCCGCGUGAGUGAAGAA